Molecule: transfer RNA, 75 nt
Filed under: Pseudomonas nitroreducens
Lineage: Bacteria; Pseudomonadati; Pseudomonadota; Gammaproteobacteria; Pseudomonadales; Pseudomonadaceae
Description: tRNA-Ile
Rfam family: tRNA
About the family: Transfer RNA (tRNA) molecules are approximately 80 nucleotides in length. Their secondary structure includes four short double-helical elements and three loops (D, anti-codon, and T loops). Further hydrogen bonds mediate the characteristic L-shaped molecular structure. tRNAs have two regions of fundamental functional importance: the anti-codon, which is responsible for specific mRNA codon recognition, and the 3' end, to which the tRNAs corresponding amino acid is attached (by aminoacyl-tRNA synthetases). tRNAs cope with the degeneracy of the genetic code in two manners: having more than one tRNA (with a specific anti-codon) for a particular amino acid; and 'wobble' base-pairing, i.e. permitting non-standard base-pairing at the 3rd anti-codon position.
Source: RNAcentral
GCACGCGUAGCUCAGCGGUAGAGCACUCGACCGAUAAUCGAGGGGCCGAAAGUUCGAAUCUUUCCGCAUGCACCA